GGUGAUAUGGCUGAGCUUAAGCAAUAAAUUGUAAAUUUAUUUACGAAUGUUGAAUUCUAUUACCA
RNAcentral lists this transfer RNA (65 nucleotides) under Nalassus laevioctostriatus. RNAcentral describes it as "tRNA-Tyr". It matches the Rfam family "tRNA". Rfam says of the family: Transfer RNA (tRNA) molecules are approximately 80 nucleotides in length. Their secondary structure includes four short double-helical elements and three loops (D, anti-codon, and T loops). Further hydrogen bonds mediate the characteristic L-shaped molecular structure. tRNAs have two regions of fundamental functional importance: the anti-codon, which is responsible for specific mRNA codon recognition, and the 3' end, to which the tRNAs corresponding amino acid is attached (by aminoacyl-tRNA synthetases). tRNAs cope with the degeneracy of the genetic code in two manners: having more than one tRNA (with a specific anti-codon) for a particular amino acid; and 'wobble' base-pairing, i.e. permitting non-standard base-pairing at the 3rd anti-codon position. Lineage: Eukaryota; Metazoa; Arthropoda; Insecta; Coleoptera; Tenebrionidae. The record is from RNAcentral.